Henosepilachna vigintioctopunctata is the source of this 77-nucleotide non-coding RNA. Lineage: Eukaryota; Metazoa; Arthropoda; Insecta; Coleoptera; Coccinellidae. The record is from the annotation of a GenBank genome assembly.
GCCGGUUUCCGUGGCUUAGUCGGGAGAACACCCGACUAUGGUGCGGUAGAACUUGGGUUCGAGUCCCGAUGAAGGCA